GGACCAAUUGGGGACCUGAAAGCCAUCAACGCUUCCUCUUGCUCUGAUUGGAAGGCACCACCCGUCGCUCACCUUGGAUGAGAGCGAGCACAAACUGCCAAGAUGAAGCAUUACGAGGUGGAGAUUCUGGAUGCCAAGACCAAGGACAAACUCUGCUUCCUGGACAAGGUUGAGCCAAAUGCCACUAUUGGGGAGAUCAAGUCUAUGUUCCACAAAAGCCAUCCUCAAUGGUACGCAGCCAGACAGUCCAUCCGUCUAGACCCAAG
This is a long non-coding RNA of Oncorhynchus masou masou (cherry salmon), 266 nucleotides long. RefSeq lists it as uncharacterized. The record is from RefSeq and is a predicted model, not a curated record. NCBI's taxonomy places the organism in Eukaryota, Metazoa, Chordata, Actinopteri, Salmoniformes, Salmonidae. The transcript has 4 exons.